AAAUAAGAAACAAUAUAUUGUAUUUAGUUUCGACCUAAAACUUAGGCAUAAAGCCCUUAUUUA
This 63-nucleotide transfer RNA is filed under the name Ceratocanthus sp. CER01. RNAcentral's name for it is "tRNA-Arg". Lineage: Eukaryota; Metazoa; Arthropoda; Insecta; Coleoptera; Hybosoridae. The record is from RNAcentral.